CUUUUUUCAUCUUAUAAUGACACUGCUUAAGCAUGGCUUACUCCUGUUAUCUCAGCACUUGGGAGGCUGAGGCAGGAGGAU
Molecule: microRNA precursor, 81 nt
Filed under: Cavia porcellus (domestic guinea pig)
Lineage: Eukaryota; Metazoa; Chordata; Mammalia; Rodentia; Caviidae
Description: miRNA (ENSCPOG00000021525.2)
Source: RNAcentral